This 253-nucleotide ribosomal RNA is filed under the name uncultured bacterium. RNAcentral describes it as "partial 16S ribosomal RNA". It matches the Rfam family "Bacterial small subunit ribosomal RNA", at positions 524 to 776 of the family's 1533-position model. The record is from RNAcentral.
UACGAAGGGGGCUAGCGUUGCUCGGAAUUACUGGGCGUAAAGCGCACGUAGGCGGCUUUCUAAGUCGGGGGUGAAAUCCUGGAGCUCAACUCCAGAACUGCCUUCGAUACUGGAGAGCUUGAGUCCGGGAGAGGUGAGUGGAACUGCGAGUGUAGAGGUGAAAUUCGUAGAUAUUCGCAAGAACACCAGUGGCGAAGGCGGCUCACUGGCCCGGUACUGACGCUGAGGCUCGAAAGCGUGGGGAGCAAACAGG